GUGUCAGCCGCCGCGGUAAUACGGGGAUGGCGAGCGUUACUCGGAUUUACUGGGUGUAAAGGACAGGCAGGCGGCUUUGCAAGUUGAAGGUUAAAUCCUCUGACUCAAUCAGAGACAUGCCUUCAAAACUACAUUGCUUGAGGAUUUGAGAGGAGAGCGGAAUUCCCGGUGUAAGGGUGAAAUCUGUAGAUAUCGGGAGGAACACCUGUGGCGAAAGCGGCUCUCUGGCAAAUCCCUGACGCUGAACUGUGAAAGCUAGGGGAGCAAACAGGAUUAGAUACCCGGGUAGUCC
This 292-nucleotide ribosomal RNA is filed under the name uncultured bacterium. RNAcentral's name for it is "partial 16S ribosomal RNA". It matches the Rfam family "Bacterial small subunit ribosomal RNA", at positions 505 to 796 of the family's 1533-position model. The record is from RNAcentral.